AUGGAUUGUGAAAAGGUGUGCAGCACAGCCCGGAUAAAGAUGCAGGGUGAGGGUGAGGAGAAUGGAGUGUACAAAACUCUCCGUGUCUUUGGAGCGUGGCUGGCAGGAGAAGGAGGCAGGAACCGCGAUGGCGCCUCAGAAGCACGGCGGUGGGGGAGGGGGCGGCUUGGGGCGGCGGCGGCAGCACUGCCACCGUUACCGGUGAAGAAACCGAAAACGGAGCACGUCCAGGCUGACCACGAGCUUUUCCUCCAGGCCUUUGAGAAACCAACACAGAUCUAUAGAUUUCUUCCAACUCGAAAUCUCAUAGCACCAAUCUUUUUGCACAGAACUCUUACUUACAUGUCUCAUCGAAACUCCAGAACGAACAUCAAAAGGAAAGCAUUUAAGGUCGAUGAUAUGUUAUCAAAAGUAGAGAAAAUGAAAGGAGAGCAAGAAUCUCAUAGCUUGUCUGCUCAUCUGCAGCUUACAUUUACUGGUUUCUUCCACAAAAAUGAUAAGCCAUCACAAAACUCAGAAAAUGAAUAAAAUUCUGUUACCUUAGAAGUCCUGCUUGUGGAAGUUUGCCACAAAAAAAGAAAGGAUGUAAGUUGCCCAAUAAGGCAAGUUCCCACAGGUAAAAAGCAGGUGCCUUUGAAUCCCGACCUCAAUCAAACAAAACCUGGAAAUUUUCCGUCCCUUGCAGUUUCCAGUAAUGAAUUCGAACCUAGUAACAGCCAUAUGGUGAAGUCUUACUCAUUACUAUUUAGAGUGACUCGUCCAGGAAGAAGAGACUUUAAUGGAAUGAUUAAUGGAGAAACCAAUGAAAAUAUUGAUGUCAGUGAAGAACUUCCAGCCAGAAGAAAACGAAAUCGUGAAGAUGGGGAAAAGACAUUUGUGGCACAAAUGACAGUAUUUGAUAAAAACAGGCGCUUACAGCUUUUAGAUGGGGAAUAUGAAGUAGCCAUGCAGGAAAUGGAAGAACGUCCAAUAAGGAAGAAAAGAGCAACAUGGGAGACUAUUCUUGAUGGGAAGAGGCUGCCUCAAUUUGAAACAUUUUCUCAGGGACCUACAUUGCAAUUCACUCUUCGCUGGACAGGAGAAACCAAUGAAAUCUACAGCUCCUAUUGCUAAGCCUCUUGCCACUAGAAAUUCAGAGAGUCUCCAUCAAGAAAACAAGCCUGGCUCAGUCAAACCUACGCAAACUAUUGCCGUGAAGGAAACAUUGACUACAGAUAUACAAGCAAGAAAAGAAAAAGAUACUUCAAAUGAGAACCGACAGAAAUUGAGAAUAUUUUAUCAGAUUCUUUAUAACAACGAUACACGACAACAAACGGAAGCAAGAGAUGACUUGCAUUGCCCUUGGUGCACGCCGAACUGUCGCAAACUUUACAGCUUACUCAAGCAUCUUAAACUCUGCCACAGCCGAUUUAUUUUCAAUUAUGUUUAUCAUCCAAAAGAUGCUAGGAUAGAUGUUUCUAUCAGAGUGUUACGAUGGCUCCUAUGCAGGAAAUCCACAGGAUAUUCAUCGCCAACCUGGCUUUGCUUUUAGUUGCAGUGGACCAGUAAACAGAACACCUAUCACACACAUUCUUGUGUGCAGGCCCAAACGAACAAAAGCAAGCAUGUCUGAAUUUCUUGAAUCUGAAGAUGGAGAAGUAGAACUGCAAAGAACAUACAGUAGCGGCCACAACCGUCUGUAUUUCCACAGUGACACCUGCUUGCCUCUCCGUCCACAAGAGAUGGAAGUAGAUAAGGAAGUAGAUGAAGAUGAGAAAGACCCAGAGUGGCUGAGAGAGAAGACCGUUACGCAAAUUGAAGAAUUUUCUGAUGUUAAUGAAGGAGAGAAAGAAGUAAUGAAACUAUGGAAUCUCCAUGUCAUGAAACAUGGGUUUAUUGCUGACAAUCAAAUGAAUCAUGCCUGUAUGCUGUUUGUAGAAAAUUAUGGACAGAAAAUAAUUAAGAAGAAUUUAUGUCAAAACUUCAUGCUUCAUCUAGUCAGCAUGCAUGGCUUUAAUCUUACUAGCAUAAUGUCAAUAGAUAAAGCUGUUACCAAGCUUGUGAAAUGCAACAAAAACUAGAAAAAGGAGAAUCUGCUUCUCCUGCAAAUGAAGAAGUACCUGAGGAACAGAAUGGGACAGCAAAUGGAUUUAGUGAAAUUAACUCAAAAGAGAAAGCUUUGGAAACAGAAGGUGUCUCAGGGGUUUCAAAACAGAGCAAAAAACAAAAACUCUGAAAAAACAAAUCUAACCCGAUAUAUGGACAAACACUGAAAUUGCAUUUGAGGGAAAUAAGCCUCUUCCUAGGGAGAGUUAUUUUGUGUUGUAUUUGUAAAUUCUAGGUUCCAAACAGGCACAUUAGAUGAAGUAAAUGAUUUCAGCAAGGAUAUAUGUCAAGGUUCUGCUUUACUUCAUCAUUCAGCAUCACAUGCUUACCCACUUUAUUGAUGUCAUUGAAUUGUUUUUCGUUUUGAGCAUGAAAAGCAGUACUUCAAGGGAAGUAUAACCGCAACUAUUGUCUUAAGAAAUAUAUUGAAUUAAUCUAGAAAUUUCAUAUAUUUAAAUUAUUAUGCUUUGGCAUUUGUGACUGGCUAUUUUUCUACUUUGUAAUCAUGAGACAUUUUGAGGAAGGAAAAUUGGAAUGUAAUUUGCUUUUUCCUUUUUUAAAAAAUGAAAAUUUUUGUAAAAACAUUUUACAAAAGAAUUGGGGUUGCAUUACUAGUUGCAGCCAAACCUUGAUCCUUGAUUUUGAAAUCAUGUUAUCCAUUGAGAAUGAAAAAUUACAAUGCAAAGUAUUUGCUGUCAU
RNA transcript from Perognathus longimembris pacificus (Pacific pocket mouse), 2784 nucleotides. It is a transcript of the gene named polycomb protein SUZ12-like, with no coding region annotated. The record is from RefSeq and is a predicted model, not a curated record. NCBI's taxonomy places the organism in Eukaryota, Metazoa, Chordata, Mammalia, Rodentia, Heteromyidae. The transcript has 2 exons.